GCUUCUCUGCUCAGUUCUCACGCAGUUCUAACCUUUGACGACAAAAUACACAUGACACGCUGCUACUUCUUUAAUUAUUUAUACCGUGCCAUUGAUUACAUUAACAUCAUCAUCAUCAAAUCACAACUUCAUUCAUUACAUUCAUACAUCAUCAAAUCGCAACUUCAUUGCUGCCACCCGUACUGUUGAUUCCGGUUUCCACCCAUCAUGUUAGACCCACGUCCAGCACCAGAACUUCCAUAGGGCCCACCUUGCGAGUAAUUGGGAGCUCCAACUCCAUAACCGCUACCCCCAC
RNAcentral lists this long non-coding RNA (295 nucleotides) under Gossypium barbadense (sea-island cotton). RNAcentral describes it as "long non-coding RNA (GBAR_LNC018715)". Lineage: Eukaryota; Viridiplantae; Streptophyta; Magnoliopsida; Malvales; Malvaceae. The record is from RNAcentral.